GACGAACGCUGGCGGCGUGCUUAACACAUGCAAGUCGAGCGGUAAGGCUCCUUCGGGAGUACACGAGCGGCGAACGGGUGAGUAACACGUGAGCAAUCUGCCCUUCACUUUGGGAUAACUCCGGGAAACCGGUGCUAAUACCGAAUGCGACCACUUCAGGCAUCUGACGGUGGUGGAAAGUUCCGGCGGUGAAGGAUGAGCUCGCGGCCUAUCAGCUUGUUGGUGAGGUAAUGGCUCACCAAGGCUUCGACGGGUAGCCGGCCUGAGAGGGUGACCGGCCACACUGGGACUGAGACACGGCCCAGACUCCUACGGGAGGCAGCAGUGGGGAAUAUUGGACAAUGGGCGAAAGCCUGAUCCAGCAACGCCGCGUGAGGGAUGACGGCCU
RNAcentral lists this ribosomal RNA (388 nucleotides) under uncultured bacterium. Its description in RNAcentral is "bacterial SSU rRNA". It matches the Rfam family "Bacterial small subunit ribosomal RNA", at positions 28 to 417 of the family's 1533-position model. The record is from RNAcentral.